RNAcentral lists this long non-coding RNA (693 nucleotides) under Vigna radiata. Its description in RNAcentral is "long non-coding RNA (VRAD_LNC005157)". The record is from RNAcentral. Lineage: Eukaryota; Viridiplantae; Streptophyta; Magnoliopsida; Fabales; Fabaceae.
GGAGAGAGAAGGUGCAUUUAAUUUUUUACCACUUUUGGGCAAACACAUGAGAUGCUUAUUUUCACUCAAAGAACGUUUCCAUUUUGGUCUUUGCCUUUAGCUNCAAUUCUACNGAGGAUUACAUGAGGGANAGAGUUUCUUUUGGUUGUUUUCUUUCCUUUGACUUUGCUUACAUGGCACCUUGGUUGAAGCACUCAAAGUAUCUUUCAUUUAGCCUUUGGUUUGAAGCACUUUUUGUAACACUCACUUGGUAGCUCACGGCAUUUGUGUCUUGGUGUGUGGUUUCCUUUUUAUUUUUCUACAUGGGAGGAGAGAAGGGACGGUNUCCAUGAUGAUGUGGAAGGCACAUGCUUAUUUUAUUGGAGAAUGAGGCACAUGGGACAAAAAGAGAACAUAUUUAAUUGUUGUUGAAGAAAGAAAACAAAAUGAAUUUGGAAGUUGGAGUGGACUAGGAGCUCACGGCCCAAAGGGCUUUCUUAAGCCAUUUGCGCUUUUCAUUUCAUUUGGUAGAUGCACUUGGUCACAUAAAUUUCUAGUAGGAAAUGGUGUUUGUUUAUUUCUUUUGAUUUAAAUUAAUUUCAUAGUAGGAUGAGUUGUUUUUCAUCUCUUUAAUUUAGUGUUGCAUUUUAAUAAUNUUAAUUGAGCUAGAUAUUUGUUUGUUACAUUGUUGAGGUCUUGUAUUUUAUUUUUUUU